AGUGAACGCUGGCGGUAGGCCUAACACAUGCAAGUCGAACGGCAGCACAGUAAGAGCUUGCUCUUACGGGUGGCGAGUGGCGGACGGGUGAGGAAUACAUCGGAAUCUACUUUUUCGUGGGGGAUAACGUAGGGAAACUUACGCUAAUACCGCAUACGACCUACGGGUGAAAGCAGGGGAUCUUCGGACCUUGCGCGAUUGAAUGAGCCGAUGUCGGAUUAGCUAGUUGGCGGGGUAAAGGCCCACCAAGGCGACGAUCCGUAGCUGGUCUGAGAGGAUGAUCAGCCACACUGGAACUGAGACACGGUCCAGACUCCUAAGGGAGGCAGCAGUGGGGAAUAUUGGGCAAAGGGCGCAAGCCUGAUCCAGCCAUACCGCGUGGGUGAAGAAGGCCUUCGGGUUGUAAAGCCCUUUUGUUGGGAAAGAAAAGCAGCAGGUUAAUACCCCGCUGUUCUGACGGUACCCAAAGAAUAAGCACCGGCUAACUUCGUG
Molecule: ribosomal RNA, 492 nt
Filed under: uncultured bacterium
Lineage: Bacteria
Description: partial 16S ribosomal RNA
Rfam family: Bacterial small subunit ribosomal RNA
Source: RNAcentral